UUCCAAGACAGUGCCCCAAAUUUCUAAUGUCAUUUUCUACAAUUUAUGAAUUGCUGGAUCUAUAUUCAUUUAAAUGAUUUUUUUGAAUUCCAAGUAUUCCAAAUUGAUUUAUUUUUUAACUGAACCUUUUGAAUCACCAAAAUUUAAAAACCUGAGAAGCGCUUCUGUCAAUUUUUUUAAUCCUGUCUCUGAUAAAAUAAACAUCUCUCAAGUUGUUCCCUAAUUUUAUACUGGUGUUAAAACAAAAAUUUUCUAUAAAUAUUCAAUCUUUUAGAAACUUAUGACCAAGAGUUUAGCAACUCUUAGUUUUGAAAUUGUUCUGCGCUAUCUCUCCUUUAAUCUGGUACUUCAUUUUUCAUUUAAUAUGCUUUAAAAUAAGACAGUUAUUGAUGUUUGAAUAUGUCUACCGUAAAUUAAACUUGUGCCAACUUAAGAAAACAUAAGUAUAAGCUACAACUUGUUGAAACAAUUUGUUUAUAAUAUUAUUAUACUGACAUCCUACAGUCAACUUGCUUAUUUUUUAAAAACAAUAAAAUAUUAAAGAAAAUUAAGAGAGUACACACUUUGACCCAAAUACUCUUCUACCAACAAGUAGGUAAGGUCAAAAUCUCUUAAGAAAAUUUAAGUGGGUGAGCAUUAAAGUUUGUAUUGUUUUUCAAAUUUGGUGAUUCAAAAAUUCAAACUUUUAUAUACUUAUAGCAUCAGUUUAUUGUAGUACAGAUAUUGAACAUAUAAUUCUGAAAAUUGGUUAACAUUUUAAUAAGUUUCAACUGUAGCAUUGAUGAAUUGAAAAUAUUUGAAUUGAUCCAUACCAUAUUUUUUUUAAGAAACUAUGUUUGGGCAUUGGUUUUAUUUUGAGUUGUGAUAUUUAUUUUGCUCGUUGUGUAUUUUGAAAUGAAAAACAAUGCUAGCUUAAUUAAUAAAAUUAUGUAUAGGCCAAAGAAAGCAUGUCUUUUUACAUUGCAAUGCAAUUCAAAUCUAAGUGUAUAUUGGGGAUUAUAGAAGUAUCUACAACUAGUGUAUUUAUAUGAUUAUUUGCAAGCCAAAGAAAAGAACAAUUUCUUUUACAUUAAACUCAAAUCUAUAUCAGUUUUAAUGAAAGAACAGGCAUUUCUCAAAAGGUUGUUUGCUAGUUUUUUGAAUUUUUUUUUCCAGAUUUACUGGUAAAUCUAUUGACCUUUUUUUGAAAUGGCGGUUAGGAACCUGAUAAAUAUACUUAUGCAUAAUCAUUGUGUGUAUUACUUGUUUAGCCAACAUCUGAAUUAAUCUCUAAUAAAGCAAAUGUAUACUGGUGUUUGUAUAUACAUAUUUGUUGAGAGGGAAUAAACUAGCAGACUGUAGAUGGCUAUUUGUUAAGGACAUAUAAACAGUGCUUGUUUUCCAAGAUGUACCAAUUUUAUUUAUACUAACACAAAGUAUAACAUGUUUAAAUCUGUAACAAUUUAAUAAUGGGGUUUUAUUAAUGUUAUCAUUACUACAAUCUGAUUAAAAUCUAAUGUUGUGAUUUGCUACACUCCCUCUUACCCUUCUCUCAUAUAUUAUAUUAACUCCGAAACACCCCCUGUAAACUUUUAAUGUCCAGUCGUUUUCCCAUGUCUGUCUUUUUUCGGCAACUUCUCUUCUCUCCUUGUCCAGCUGUUAACUCUUUGUAGCUGUCUUAUUUUUAAGAGGACAGUAUUCAUUAUUUUUUCUAGUGUAGAGAGUACUGUAGCAUAAAACAACAGCCGAUUUUAAUGAGAUGGUCAUUUCUACAGUUAUACUUGUGAACAGUAGACUCUGAAUAACUAGUAAUUUUAGCUGGGAAUGUACAAAUUGUGGAGUACCAAAUUUUUCCACUAGCUAAACAGUUUAUCAAUAUAAUUUAGGUUAACGUUGUAGUUAACAGUUAAAUGCAUUUGUUGUAAAGCUUUAAAGCUCUCAUGAUUUUUUAUAUGUAUUUCAACCUUCAUUCAUUUAUCAUUAAUAAUCAUGUAUAAUUUGUUUUAUAUGUACAGAAGCCAAAGUUAUAUAUAGUCUAUCAUCUAAUUUAAAACAAUGUUGUCAGAAUUAAUUUAUCUAUUUGUAUGAUAGCAAUAUUUGUUUAUUAGGAUAUUUUUGUGUAAGUUUAUACAUAUGAAUUUUGUAAUAUUGUUGUUUACAUGACCAGAAUGCAUGGUCACUUAUGUGUUCUAUAGAUGUAAACAAACAGACCUAAAAUAUGGAAAAAAAUAAAUUAAUUUAAGCA
Molecule: long non-coding RNA, 2224 nt
Filed under: Mytilus galloprovincialis (Mediterranean mussel)
Lineage: Eukaryota; Metazoa; Mollusca; Bivalvia; Mytilida; Mytilidae
Source: RNAcentral